GAUGAACGCUGGCGGCGUGCCUAAUACAUGCAAGUCGAGCGAACAGACGAUGAGCUUUCUCCUCUUACGUUAUCGGCGGACGUGUGAGUAACUCGUGUAUUACCUACCUAUAAUUCUUGGAUAACUUCGUGAAACCGUAUCUAAUACCGGAUAAUAUUUUUAACCGCAUUUUUCCUUAGUUAAAUACUGUUUUUCUUUCUCUUUUCGCUGUAUCCGCGCCGCAUUAGCUAGUUGUUAAGGUAACGGCUUACCAAGGCAACGAUGCGUAGCCGACAUGAUAGGGUGAUCGGCAAAACGGGAACGGAGAAACGGACAAGAAUACUACGGGAGGCAGCAGUAGGGAAUAUGCCGCAAUGGGCGAAAGCAUGACGGAGCAACGCCGAGUGAGGGAUGAAGGUCUACGGAUCGUAAAACUCUGUUAGUAGGGAAGAACAAAUGUGUAAGUAAAUAAGCACGGAGUGACGGUAACUAAUCAGAAAGCAACGGCUAACUACGUG
RNAcentral lists this ribosomal RNA (497 nucleotides) under uncultured bacterium. RNAcentral describes it as "partial 16S ribosomal RNA". It matches the Rfam family "Bacterial small subunit ribosomal RNA", at positions 28 to 507 of the family's 1533-position model. The record is from RNAcentral.